RNAcentral lists this ribosomal RNA (117 nucleotides) under Penicillium sp. 225WS. RNAcentral describes it as "5.8S ribosomal RNA". It matches the Rfam family "5.8S ribosomal RNA", at positions 1 to 116 of the family's 154-position model. Rfam says of the family: 5.8S ribosomal RNA (5.8S rRNA) is a component of the large subunit of the eukaryotic ribosome. It is transcribed by RNA polymerase I as part of the 45S precursor that also contains 18S and 28S rRNA. Functionally, it is thought that 5.8S rRNA may be involved in ribosome translocation. Lineage: Eukaryota; Fungi; Ascomycota; Eurotiomycetes; Eurotiales; Aspergillaceae. The record is from RNAcentral.
AAACUUUCAACAACGGAUCUCUUGGUUCCGGCAUCGAUGAAGAACGCAGCGAAAUGCGAUAAGUAAUGUGAAUUGCAGAAUUCCGUGAAUCAUCGAAUCUUUGAACGCACAUUGCGC